CCCCCGGUGGCUCUGUGGUAAAGCAUUUGCCUGCCAAUGCAGGAGGCAUGGGUUCGAUCCCUGUUCUGGGAA
This 72-nucleotide transfer RNA is filed under the name Bison bison bison. It matches the Rfam family "tRNA". From Rfam's summary of the family: Transfer RNA (tRNA) molecules are approximately 80 nucleotides in length. Their secondary structure includes four short double-helical elements and three loops (D, anti-codon, and T loops). Further hydrogen bonds mediate the characteristic L-shaped molecular structure. tRNAs have two regions of fundamental functional importance: the anti-codon, which is responsible for specific mRNA codon recognition, and the 3' end, to which the tRNAs corresponding amino acid is attached (by aminoacyl-tRNA synthetases). tRNAs cope with the degeneracy of the genetic code in two manners: having more than one tRNA (with a specific anti-codon) for a particular amino acid; and 'wobble' base-pairing, i.e. permitting non-standard base-pairing at the 3rd anti-codon position. Lineage: Eukaryota; Metazoa; Chordata; Mammalia; Artiodactyla; Bovidae. The record is from Rfam by way of RNAcentral.